AUGAAGCUGGAAUCGCUAGUAAUCGCGAAUCAGAAUGUCGCGGUGAAUACGUUCCCGGGUCUUGUACACACCGCCCGUCACACCAUGGGAGUCGGAUAUGCCCGAAGUCAGUGACCCAACCAUAUGGAGGGAGCUGCCGAAGGUGGAGCCGAUAACUGGGUGAAGUCGUAACAAGGUAGC
This 180-nucleotide ribosomal RNA is filed under the name uncultured bacterium. RNAcentral describes it as "partial 16S ribosomal RNA". It matches the Rfam family "Bacterial small subunit ribosomal RNA", at positions 1320 to 1500 of the family's 1533-position model. The record is from RNAcentral.